This 104-nucleotide ribosomal RNA is filed under the name uncultured bacterium. RNAcentral describes it as "partial 16S ribosomal RNA". It matches the Rfam family "Bacterial small subunit ribosomal RNA", at positions 1379 to 1482 of the family's 1533-position model. The record is from RNAcentral.
CCUUGUACACACCGCCCGUCACACCAUGGGAGUGGGUUGCAAAAGAAGUAGGUGGCUUAACCUUCGGGAGGGCGCUUACCACUUUGUGAUUCAUGACUGGGGUG